Molecule: ribosomal RNA, 371 nt
Filed under: uncultured organism
Description: partial 16S ribosomal RNA
Rfam family: Bacterial small subunit ribosomal RNA
Source: RNAcentral
GUAGGUGGCAAGCGUUGUCCGGAAUUAUUGGGCGUAAAGCGCGCGCAGGCGGUUCUUUAAGUCUGAUGUGAGAGCCCACGGCUCAGCCGUGGAGGGUCAUUGGAAACUGGAGAACUUGAGUACAGAAGAGGAAAGCGGAAUUCCACGUGUAGCGGUGAAAUGCGUAGAGAUGUGGAGGAACACCAGUGGCGAAGGCGGCUUUCUGGUCUGUAACUGACGCUGAGGCGCGAAAGCGUGGGGGAGCAAACAGGAUUAGAUACCCUGGUAGUCCACGCCGUAAACGAUGAGUGCUAAGUGUUAGGGGGUUUCCGCCCCUUAGUGCUGCAGCUAACGCAUUAAGCACUCCGCCUGGGAGUACGGCCGCAAGGCUG